GCCUCCUUACUCAGUCGCUCCUUCUUCCGCGGCGCAGAGCGGCUCCUGCCUGUGGUGAGGCGGCUCUCCACUUCCUGCAUGCAGGCGUGACCAGAGCUGCUGAUCAGCCUUUAUACCGCGAUUGUUUCAGCGACCAAGGGUCCAACUAAGAAAACAAAGAUCUUCCCGGUUCACUGACGCACCACAGAUGGCGGGAAAACUUAAAACCGGAGAAAUGAAGGAUAUCUUACAGCGAUUGAAUGAUAUAAACUCCUCACUUGAUUGCAGCGUUUCGAAGCUCGUCCAGAACCAGACUGAGCUGAGCAAAGCACUUGAGACCCAAAAAUGCCUCAAUAAGAGUCUAAAACCGCUGUAUGCUGCCUUUUCACCACAUGAAGACCCCAAUUCCAUCAAUCAGCAUUAAGUAAAAUGUUCACUUUGUUAACCUUCUUUCAAUAUAUCUGUUAAUACCAUGCAUUACAAUGUAUCAUAUUGUACAUUCUGAUAUAUAAUUUACAUAUAAACAUGAGUUUGGUAAAAAUGUA
This is a long non-coding RNA of Paramormyrops kingsleyae, 524 nucleotides long. RefSeq lists it as uncharacterized. The record is from RefSeq and is a predicted model, not a curated record. Lineage: Eukaryota; Metazoa; Chordata; Actinopteri; Osteoglossiformes; Mormyridae.